GACGGACCAUCCAAACGUUAUUCGGAUUUACUGGGCGUAAAGGGCGCGUAGGCGGCCUGCUAAGUCGAACGUGAAAUCCCUGGGCUCAACCCAGGAACUGCGUCCGAUACUGGUUGGCUUGAAUCCGGGAGAGGGAUGUGGAAUUCCAGGUGUAGCGGUGAAAUGCGUAGAUAUCUGGAGGAACACCGGUGGCGAAGGCGACAUCCUGGACCGGUAUUGACGCUGAGGCGCGAAAGCCAGGGGAGCAAACGGG
Molecule: ribosomal RNA, 253 nt
Filed under: uncultured bacterium
Lineage: Bacteria
Description: partial 16S ribosomal RNA
Rfam family: Bacterial small subunit ribosomal RNA
Source: RNAcentral